GACGAACGCUGGCGGCGUGCCUAAUACAUGCAAGUAGAACGCUGAAGGAGGAGCUUGCUUCUCUGGAUGAGUUGCGAACGGGUGAGUAACGCGUAGGUAACCUGCCUGGUAGCGGGGGAUAACUAUUGGAAACGAUAGCUAAUACCGCAUAAGAGUAGAUGUUGCAUGACAUUUGCUUAAAAGGUGCAAUUGCAUCACUACCAGAUGGACCUGCGUUGUAUUAGCUAGUUGGUGGGGUAACGGCUUACUAAGGCGACGAUACAUAGCCGACCUGAGAGGGUGAUCGGCCACACUGGGACUGAGACACGGCCCAGACUCCUACGGGAGGCAGCAGUAGGGAAUCUUCGGCAAUGGACGGAAGUCUGACCGAGCAACGCCGCGUGAGUGAAGAAGGUUUUCGGAUCGUAAAGCUCUGUUGUAAGAGAAGAACGAGUGUGAGAGUGGAAAGUUCACACUGUGACGGUAUCUUACCAGAAAGGGACGGCUAACUACGUG
Molecule: ribosomal RNA, 495 nt
Filed under: uncultured bacterium
Lineage: Bacteria
Description: partial 16S ribosomal RNA
Rfam family: Bacterial small subunit ribosomal RNA
Source: RNAcentral